GAGGAGUAGGAAACAUAAAAAUGGAUUUUUUAAAAAUUUGUUUUCUGUGUAUUACAACCUUCAAUUGGGCACCAAGUAAAACCCUUUGUUUAAGAGAGGGCUCUCUCAAAGAAACGGACUAACGAAAAACAACACCAAUAACACAACAACUUGAAUUACCAUGAUGGAAAUUUAUGUUUUUGUCGUCCAAUCGGUCAUUAGUCAAUACUGACGAAUCAAAUGUUGACGUGAUUACAAUCAUCAAGUUGUUGUCAGCACAUUAAAUGUAUUUUUAACUCUGUUUUCUCCAAA
Long non-coding RNA from Cimex lectularius (bed bug), 291 nucleotides. RefSeq lists it as uncharacterized. NCBI's taxonomy places the organism in Eukaryota, Metazoa, Arthropoda, Insecta, Hemiptera, Cimicidae. The record is from RefSeq and is a predicted model, not a curated record. The transcript is spliced from 3 exons.